RNAcentral lists this ribosomal RNA (96 nucleotides) under Bacillus cereus HuA2-9. The record is from RNAcentral. Lineage: Bacteria; Bacillati; Bacillota; Bacilli; Caryophanales; Bacillaceae.
GUCACACCCGUUCCCAUACCGAACACGGAAGUUAAGCUCUCUAGCGCCGAUGGUAGUUGGGACCUUGUCCCUGUGAGAGUAGGACGUCGCCAAGCG